This is a long non-coding RNA of Leptidea sinapis, 3577 nucleotides long. RefSeq lists it as uncharacterized. The record is from RefSeq and is a predicted model, not a curated record. Lineage: Eukaryota; Metazoa; Arthropoda; Insecta; Lepidoptera; Pieridae. The transcript is spliced from 4 exons.
UCGGUGUCAGCUAAGUCUGAUGGAUGAAUAUGAACGUAGUGUUUAAAUUCUCUUUGGAUGAAUAUUUCAAGUGUCAAAUCUCAACGAGCUAAGGAAAUAAUUUGUUUUUUCAAUAAAUUUUAAUAAUAACAUAUCGUCUUCAAUAUAUUUUGAACACGUACUGAUAAGAUGUACAUAUGAAUUUGAGUUGAAAUAUCCCAUAAUUUUGUAAACUAUCACAAUAAAAUUGAAUUUCUCAUAAUAAUAAUUAUAAUCAAAGAAGAAUUUACUUUAUUCAGUUUCAAAUUGAACUCUGAGCCUUUCUUGUUACCUUAUACGGUUAGUGUUUAAAUUUUUUGUUAUAAUUAUAAAGCAUUAACAACGGUGGUAUUGUAAUUUAAUAAAUUACUUAUACAAAGAAGAUAUGCCGAUUAAAUCGAUCUCGGCAAGGAAACGACGACAACGAAGACGAGCAAACAUGCCAAGCAACGAAACAAGCAAAGAAGAAGGUUCACCUGCACAGCAUAGCCCUGUGAGCCAAUCACAAGUUUCUAAUAAAAAUAACCAAAGUGGAGAUCAAGGAUCACAGCCUUUAACCAGCGCAAAGUUGCAAGAGUUAGUCCGAGAAGUUGACCCAACAGUACAACUAGAUGAAGAGGUUGAGGAAGUUUUGCUUAAUUUAGCUGAUGACUUUAUGCAUGCUGUGGUAAAUGCAGCUUGCUCUGUUGCUAAGAAGAGACAAGCAUCUGCUGUGGAGUUAAAGGAUGUUCUACAACAAUUAUAGAUGCUACAAAAGCCAGUGGUUAAGCUACUGAAACGUGACCACAAUUAUAAGAUUGAGGGGCGGCAUUGACCGCUCCACUCUAACGUCAUAGAUCCUUCAACAAUUCCGCUUAUGGUCUUGGUGACCGAUUGCAGAAAGACCGUCGCGAGACUACAUUGAAGUCGGAGUCGAAAGUCAAUUACGAUAUAAUCACAGUCCACGUUAAAUACGUGGAUGCCGCUUCGUUAGCUGAGUCCUGACUCGAGGGGCAGAGCAAGGUGGCCUAUUGCUAUGUUUAGAAGUUUUUUAAAUUAUCCGGACUUACCCUGUCUAAUCCAGGGGCUUGCAUUCAAUAUAUGCCAAGGAAUAGCCUACCUACCAUAUUUAGAGUCUAAUUAAUAUACCUACACUAGAUUCCAAGAUAAUUCAGAUAAAUUUAGUUCUUUUAUUCUAUAAUCGAAAUUCUAUUGAACACCCAACCAGUAAGUUUUUCGUUACGCGAUAUACUAAAUACGUAAAGUAGGCAGUUCCGAUAAUGCUUACUGAGGGCUAGUAGAAUACGUUCACUUUCUAUAACAAAAUUUAUUUGUCAAGGUAAUACAACCACAGCAAAAAAUAUACAAUUACUAUGUAUAUUGUUCUUAAAUAUGACCAUCGCAAUUUGUCAUCUUUAACACAUCCGGGGUAGGCAAGAUUAUGACACUUCGAAAUGACAACCGCAGCUGUCACGAAAUAAACCAAUGAAAGAAAUUAUACCUACAUUAUGAUUUAUGAGUCAUAUUUCGUCGGGCGCCGUACGUAACACACGGAUUGUUAAAGUAUCGAGUUAUAACAAUUAUAUUUAAAUAGUUACCUUGUGAUUUAGUGGCUUAAACUUUGAAAUUAUUAAAGGAAGUGUUAGUUCUGUGUAAUUAACAAAUAAACAGUGUAAAUAAAAGUUUAUAACAAGUAUUUUACAUCGAAUAGACAUUAUUAUUUCAAUUAUAAUUUUACGAAUACCCUCAAUAUUCACGCUAAAGUUAAUUUUUGGACUUGGCGCGUAGUUAUUAUAUUUAGUUGCCGUCCAGUGAUAUUUAUUCAUUCUUAUUAUCACCACUCGUUUUUAUAUAAAGUUUUAAACAACAUGCUAGAUUCACCCAAUAUCCUGAGCAAAAUAACAUUAAACAUACCGAGAUUAGGGUCAAGAAGCAAACACAAACUUUUCUAUCUACCCACCGUAAGAACUAACGUUGGCAGCAACGCGCCACUAUAUCGUGUCUGUCAUUCAUUAAAUAAUAUUUUGGAGACAUCCGGGGCUGAUCCACUAUGCGAUAGCCUCAUAGCAUUUGAACGUAAGGUAUUGCAACUAUAGUAUAGUGAUUCUUUAAUUACUUACAUCAUAUUUUUUUAUUACCAUAUAUAUAUUUUUUUACUAUCAUAUUUUUUAUAUACUGUAUAAGUCUCUGUGUUAUAUAAGUGCCCAAUAGAAAUGAUUCUCAUUUAUGUUGUGUGCACCUGUAAUUGACUCAUACACUGGAACUAUUUAUGUGCAAUAUUUAAGUUUAAGAGUGUAUUGUGUAUGUGUUGUUGGAGCACCUUUAAAUAAAUAAAUGAGUAAUUAUUAUUACGUGUCUCGUUCGCUUAGUGUCCGAGUUUCAACCUUAUUGCGCUCCCAUAAGAGUUUUGACGUGAUUCAUGAUUGUGAGAUAUAAAAUAUGACAUUUCCGGAAAUAAAAAUAUAUUGUUUACUAAUCAACAAUGACAGCGCCAUUUUUAAGUUGUUGUGUUUUCUUCAUUCGUGUACUUAUACGGGCGUGAAUAAUUAAGCUAAUUACAUUAGUUAUUAGUUUUGUGUUGAUUUGUUUAUUGUUAAUUAUAUUUAGUGUUUAUAUUGGAAAAAGAAGUUGCUGUUUGUUUUGUGUUUAAAAUAGGUAACUAGUAAGGAAUUAAAACAUAAUGGAGGAAUUCCAGUGCCUGGAUUGUGGCGAAAAAACGUUUUGUUUACAUAAAUUAGGUAUGUAUCCUUUUGCACAAUUUUCGUUCGUAGAUAAAAUAAAAAUUGUUUCUCUUUAUAGACCAAUGCAAAAAUAUUAGUUUAACUCAACAAAAAGGUAAAAUUAUCAAUUUAUUGAUCCCCUGCUGUUUAUUUUCUACAACGAAAACUGUGUGGAAUGAUACUGGUUACGGUGACUUGCAUAAUUUGACAAAAUUGCUAAAAAACACGAUCAAUCUGACAGAACGGCAGAAUAAUGUUGGUAAGUGAACUUAUAUUUAUCCUUAUACCUAACAGGAACAAUUUUUUUUAUAUUUUCGAGUGCCUACCGCGCUGGAAAACCAAUGCACGUCCCUGCCUGUAUCCCAAGUUACCCUGAUGCAUCUUAUUAUAUUCUAGGAAAUAAGAGUUUUUUUUUGUAUGAAAUUUUAAUACAACCUACUAAAAAUUCACAAACAAGCUAAGAACAAAAUAAUUAACUCUAAAAUUAAAUGCAUCGAUUCGUUAAGCUUCUAAUAAUAAUAAUACAGCCACAAAUUAAUAUUCGGAUAAAAAUUGGGCAGUGUAAUGCCCUAACCGCCUAACGGUUAGGGCCUAACUCGUCAUUGGUUGCGGCAGAAAUGUCGACACCAUGCCAGGGAGACGGCGCCUUUUAUAGUCAUCUUCACCCUCGACACCUGUCACUUUCUACAGUAUAAUGGAAUAUAUAAUUGCAGAAAUACAAUCGAAUGUGUGGAUACCUGGAUUCGGUAACGACGAGCUGCGGCCAUACAAAAGAGCAGCGGUCACCGAAGCUCAAAACAGCGAAUUGUGAAUGAAUCCGGUAGACCAUGAAAAAAUAUUAAAUAAACAUUCAUAAUAUU